GGCUCUUUAGCUCAGUUGGUAGAGCAGUGGCCUGAAGAGCCACGUGUCCCCAGUUCGAGUCUGGGAGGAGCCACCA
Molecule: transfer RNA, 76 nt
Filed under: Candidatus Saccharimonadota bacterium
Lineage: Bacteria; Candidatus Saccharimonadota
Also listed under: 1 other name
Description: tRNA-Phe
Rfam family: tRNA
About the family: Transfer RNA (tRNA) molecules are approximately 80 nucleotides in length.
Source: RNAcentral